UACGUAGGGUGCAAGCGUUAUCCGGAUUUACUGGGUGUAAAGGGCGAGUAGACGGCGAUGCAAGUCAGAUGUGAAAUGCUAGGGCUUAACCUUAGAACUGCAUCUGAAACUGUAUUGCUAGAGUGCAGGAGAGGUAAACGGAAUUCCUAGUGUAGCGGUGAAAUGCGUAGAUAUUAGGAGGAACAUCAGUGGCGAAGGCGGUUUACUGGACUGUAACUGACGUUGAGGCGCGAAAGCGUG
This 240-nucleotide ribosomal RNA is filed under the name uncultured bacterium. Its description in RNAcentral is "partial 16S ribosomal RNA". It matches the Rfam family "Bacterial small subunit ribosomal RNA", at positions 524 to 763 of the family's 1533-position model. The record is from RNAcentral.